This 250-nucleotide ribosomal RNA is filed under the name uncultured bacterium. Its description in RNAcentral is "partial 16S ribosomal RNA". It matches the Rfam family "Bacterial small subunit ribosomal RNA", at positions 333 to 580 of the family's 1533-position model. The record is from RNAcentral.
AUGCUCCUACGGGACGCAGCAGUGAGGAAUAUUGGUCAAUGGCCGAGAGGCUGAACCAGCCACGUCGCGUGAGGGAAGACGGCCCUACGGGUUGUAAACCUCUUUUGUCGGGGAGCAAAGCGAACCACGUGUGGUUCAUUGAGAGUACCCGAAGAAAAAGCAUCGGCUAACUCCGUGCCAGCAGCCGCGGUAAUACGGAGGAUGCGAGCGUUAUCAGGAUUUAUUGGGUUUAAAGGGUGCGCAGGCGGAG